This 468-nucleotide ribosomal RNA is filed under the name uncultured bacterium. RNAcentral's name for it is "partial 16S ribosomal RNA". It matches the Rfam family "Bacterial small subunit ribosomal RNA", at positions 28 to 507 of the family's 1533-position model. The record is from RNAcentral.
GACGAACGCUGGCGGCGCGCCUAACACAUGCAAGUCGAACGGAGCUGCGAGAAGCUUGCUUUUCUUAGCUUAGUGGCGAACGGGUGAGUAACGCGUGAGUAACCUGCCCUGGAGUGGGGGACAACAGUUGGAAACGACUGCUAAUACCGCAUAAGCCCACGAUCCGGCAUCGGCUUGAGGGAAAAGGAUUUAUUCGCUUCAGGAUGGACUCGCGUCCAAUUAGCUAGUUGGUGAGGUAACGGCCCACCAAGGCGACGAUUGGUAGCCGGACUGAGAGGUUGAACGGCCACAUUGGGACUGAGACACGGCCCAGACUCCUACGGGAGGCAGCAGUGGGGGAUAUUGCACAAUGGGGGAAACGCUGAUGCAGCGACGCCGCGUGGAGGAAGAAGGUUGUCGGAUUGUAAACUCCUGUCGUUAGGGACGAUAAUGACGGUACCUAACAAGAAAGCACCGGCUAACUACGUG